GCCAGUGUGGCAUAGUGGUUUGAACAUUGGACUAUGACUCUGGAGACCAGGGUUCAAUUCCCAGCUCAGCCA
Molecule: non-coding RNA, 72 nt
Organism: Phrynosoma platyrhinos (Desert horned lizard)
Lineage: Eukaryota; Metazoa; Chordata; Lepidosauria; Squamata; Phrynosomatidae
Source: the annotation of a GenBank genome assembly